UAGGGGCAUUUUUUUGGAAAUAAUAGUGUAAACUAAACGUACGUAAAGUACGGAAGCGUUUACGCACUUUGCGCAACCUACGCAAAUGAAGCGGACCACGCGUAGUGAGGCUCUUAAUCCGUGUUUGUUUUGGUAAAGCACCCAGAAACAAGAAAUCGGACUGCAUUAAACAACCGAAUUUAUCUACAACCCUACUGAGAGCAGCUACUUACAAAAAAUGUAUUACAAUAAUAAUAUGAUAGAGUUAUAAAUACAGAGCGCUUAUAGAAACAGAAAUCACUGCAAUUAGCUUAGCAACCAACACUAGCAACUUAGCUAACAAGUACCCGUGUUGUUGAUCUUGGGUAUUAACUCACAGCUGUAAUGUAUUUCGUAUAGUUAGUGUACUGCACACAGUGUACAAGUCUUUAUCUUUCAUAAUAAUAAUAAUACUUAUUGUUUAUGAGUUAUUUGGGUUUUAUUCAGUAUUUCAGCUGUGAACUAGUUGGCUAGGCUAAGUAUUGACACCUUCACACGGCAUAUUACUAGCGUGGGUCAAUCGAUAGUAUCGAUACUUCAGUUUUACAUUUUCUCCGCUAUAUUCGGUACUUUUCUUCCGUUUUAUUAGAAAGUAGAAACCAUAUGUGUACAGAGCCGCUCAUCUUACUCCUGCUGCUCUGCUGUGUGGUGUUGUGGUACCGUCACGUGAUUAAGCGGCACAGAGACCAAGCACAUACAGCAGAGAGAGAGAGUAAAUGGAAAAUAAAAAAGAAUGUAAAGUUUAAAACAUUUGUUCUCCAGUAAAACUUUUGUUUACUUUAUUUUUGUAAGCCACAGAAGUGCAGUGAAAAUGUAGUUUUGUUAAUUAUAUUAUUGUAGUGAUGGGCAGAUGAAGCCUCAUUGAAGCUUCCUCCUGAUUGUGCUGAAAAUGAUUUGAAGUAUUGAAAGUGGACAUCAGAGCAGAGUGACACCUGGUGGCUUUAAGAAUGUAUUGCAGCCUGCAGCUACUCAACACUGAAACAUACGAACCCUCUGUGGUUUAAUAGAUCACCCAAUAUUUGUUUUCAUCUGCAAAUAAUUAUCUUUACUUAUUAAAGCAUUGCGUUAAAAUUUGUCAUGUACAAUUCUCUGAUACCCAAAUAGUGAUCAGGUGUUUGACUGUCUCUUAAAUAGUCAGUGAGAUAAGGGACAGCACCAAAGCUUUGAAUCAGUCUCGCCCAGUUCUGGUGGUUAAUUCAGUGACAUUUUGGAAGCUUCUGAGUCACUUUAAUACAAGCUCCGAUACACUGAAUCGACUCAGCGAGUGUUACAAAAGUGAAACGAAGCCUCGGUAUCGAAUGUCAUUGUAUGAAAAACCUCUUACUGAAAAUGAAUUUAAGUUCCACAAAAAAUGUGGAACUUUUUUACAGAAAAGUGGAACUUCGGUCGAUAAUAAAUGCACAUGUCUAUCAUUCAUGUAGGAGUAUUUUAGCACCGCAUUUUCCACCGUUUCCAUAAAAGUGUGAUUUAUACAUCAUAUUUUAAGAAGUAAAAGCACGUUCAGCUUGUAUAAAACCCCCUGAUUUCUUGUGCUCACCACUGUUCAGUUUGACAAUGAAGCUGUUUUUUCCUCUCGUGAAUCACUCUUUAUCCAUCAGAGCUCAAAACAACAUGGAAUCGGUUCAAGAUCCACAUGAUGGCGCAGAAACACCACAAACAUUCUGAAACGCUUCAAAACUGUCAUAAAUAAUGAGUACAAAUUAUUAUUUUCAUACAUGGAGUUGUAAUAAAUUAUUUCAUUUAAAUGUAAAUAAACAAUAUUAUAAUACACAUUAGAAUGAAUGAUGUGUCGGUGUAGUGAUUCAGUAGUUCAUUACUAGUUGCUCAUUGGUCUGUCAGUCACGUGUUUAGCGAGGUGACGUCACCGACGCGCCACCGUGUAUGUAUUGUUGUUGUUAGCGGUUUAGUGAAAGUAGAUAGUUAGAUACUUCAUUAAUCCCGAAGGAAAUCAAGGCCUCAGUAGCAAGUUACAUAAAGCAAAGUCAAAAACAGUAAAAGCUGGAGAAUCAGACGUGAAAUGAGAGGAAACCAAACCGAGACAAACUCAGCAAGGAUAUCAGGGAUCGUUGUUUGGAUAAAUGAUCAUCUGUUAACAGCAUUGAUAAGCUACGUAAGUUGGCUGUGAGCAGGUGGUUGUAGCGGUAAAUGUUUGUAUCGUUCAUGCUGCUUAUUUUGCACAAAGAGUGUUUAGCUUUUGUCUGUGUCUAUUUACAAGUACAAAUAAAGUACAUAUAUUGAAAUUUUA
Molecule: long non-coding RNA, 2263 nt
Organism: Trichomycterus rosablanca
Lineage: Eukaryota; Metazoa; Chordata; Actinopteri; Siluriformes; Trichomycteridae
Exons: 2
Source: RefSeq, a predicted model, not a curated record